RNAcentral lists this ribosomal RNA (444 nucleotides) under uncultured bacterium. RNAcentral's name for it is "partial 16S ribosomal RNA". It matches the Rfam family "Bacterial small subunit ribosomal RNA", at positions 339 to 795 of the family's 1533-position model. The record is from RNAcentral.
CUACGGGACGCACCAGUGGGGAAUAUUGCACAAUGGGCGCAAGCCUGAUGCAGCAACGCCGCGUGAGGGACGAAGGCCUUCGGGUUGUAAACCUCUUUUAGCAGGGAAGAAGCGAAAGUGACGGUACCUGCAGAAAAAGCACCGGCUAACUACGUGCCAGCAGCCGCGGUAAUACGUAGGGUGCAAGCGUUGUCCGGAAUUAUUGGGCGUAAAGAGCUCGUAGGCGGUUUGUCACGUCUGCUGUGAAAUUUCGAGGCUCAACCUCGAACUUGCAGUGGGUACGGGCAGGCUAGAGUGCGGUAGGGGAGAUGGGAAUUCCUGGUGUAGCGGUGGAAUGCGCAGAUAUCAGGAGGAACACCAAUGGCGAAGGCACAUCUCUGGGCCGUAACUGACGCUGAGGAGCGAAAGCGUGGGGAGCAAACAGGAUUAGAUACCCUAGUAGUC